RNAcentral lists this ribosomal RNA (253 nucleotides) under uncultured bacterium. RNAcentral's name for it is "partial 16S ribosomal RNA". It matches the Rfam family "Bacterial small subunit ribosomal RNA", at positions 524 to 776 of the family's 1533-position model. The record is from RNAcentral.
UACGAAGGGUGCAAACGUUGCUCGGAAUUAUUGGGCGUAAAGGGCGCGUAGGCGGCUUGGCAAGUGGAUGGUGAAAUCCCUCGGCUUAACCGAGGAACUGCCAUCCAGACUGCUUUGCUUGAGGCCGGGAGAGGUAAGUGGAAUUCCCAGUGUAGCGGUGAAAUGCGUAGAUAUCAGGAGGAACACCGAUGGCGAAGGCAGGUCUCUGGGCAUUAACUGACGCUGAGGAGCGAAAGCAUGGGGAGCGAACAGG